RNAcentral lists this transfer RNA (68 nucleotides) under Trichonephila inaurata madagascariensis. It matches the Rfam family "tRNA". From Rfam's summary of the family: Transfer RNA (tRNA) molecules are approximately 80 nucleotides in length. Their secondary structure includes four short double-helical elements and three loops (D, anti-codon, and T loops). Lineage: Eukaryota; Metazoa; Arthropoda; Arachnida; Araneae; Nephilidae. The record is from Rfam by way of RNAcentral.
GGCUCGGUGGUCUGGGUAUGAUUCUCGCUUUGGGUGCGAGAGGUCCGGUUCAAAUCCCGGUCGAGCCC